This 253-nucleotide ribosomal RNA is filed under the name uncultured Eubacteriales bacterium. RNAcentral's name for it is "uncultured Clostridiales bacterium partial 16S ribosomal RNA". It matches the Rfam family "Bacterial small subunit ribosomal RNA", at positions 524 to 776 of the family's 1533-position model. The record is from RNAcentral. Lineage: Bacteria; Bacillati; Bacillota; Clostridia; Eubacteriales.
UACGUAGGGGGCAAGCGUUAUCCGGAUUUACUGGGCGUAAAGGGAGCGUAGACGGCUGAGCAAGCCUGAAGUGAAAGGCGGGGGCCCAACCCCCGGACUGCUUUGGGAACUGUACGGCUGGAGUGCAGGAGAGGUGAGCGGAAUUCCUAGUGUAGCGGUGAAAUGCGUAGAUAUUAGGAGGAACACCAGCGGCGAAGGCGGCUUACUGGACCGUGACUGACGCUGAGGCUCGAAAGCGUGGGGAGCAAACAGG